This 2884-nucleotide long non-coding RNA is filed under the name Marmota monax (woodchuck). The record is from RNAcentral. Lineage: Eukaryota; Metazoa; Chordata; Mammalia; Rodentia; Sciuridae.
UUUAGUUUUUCAGUGGGCACAACAUCUUUGUAUGUGGUGCUGAGGAUCGAACCUGGGCCACACGCAUGCCAGGUGAGCGCGUUACCGCUUGAGCCACAUCCCCAACCCUCAAUGAAGUCUUUAAAAAGUGAAGAAUGAAAAUCUGCAGCUAAAAUUACACUAUAGUUCAUUUGCUUAAUGCAUUUUGUUAUUAAAACAACAGAUUGUAUAUAGAUUUAGCUUCAGUAUCAUUACAUAAUGUAGAACAGCAUGCUGAGAAAUGAUAAACUAUACUCUAUUAAUUUGUACUUUAUAAGACGUAACUCUUGUUAUAAAAACAAGACUGACUUUGAUUUUUUUAUAUCAGAAGGACAUUUUAGAUUCUGAAAAACACAGCUGUUAUCAAAUGUAUUGCUUUCCUUUUAGAUAAAUGUAAUAUAAUUAUGACUAUCGAAAAACCAUUUUGUUCAUUUCUCAAAAAGAGCUAGAUUUAUUGAAGUUUUCAUAUAUAUACAUACAUAUCAUUUUUUGCAGAGAUAGAAUUGAGGGGCACUCAACCACUGAGCCACAUCCAUAGCCCUAGUUUUGUAUUUUAUUUAGAGAUAGGGUGUCACCUUACCAAGUUACUUAUUGCCUUGCAGGUGCUGAGGCUGGAUUGUUUUCAUUUGUUUUAGUUGUAGAUGGACACAGUAUCUUUAUUUUUAUUUAUUUAUUUUUAUGUAGUGCUGAGGAUUUAACCCAGAACCUCAUGCAUGCAAGGCAAGCACUCUACGUCUGAGCUACAACCCUAGCCCCAUGAGGCUGACUUUGAACUCGAGAUCCUCCUGCCUCAGCCUCCAGUUAAGCUAGGAUUAAAGGCAUAUGCCACCAUACCUAGCUUAGGUUUAUAUUUAAUAGGCUUAAAUUUUAGAGCACUUUAGGUUUUAACUUUUAAUUAUUCUGAAAACUAUAAAGCCAUGAGAAGAUGUAGAAGAAACUUAAAUGACUUUUAUGUUCACAGAAUAAUUGUCAGUAUAAAUAUUUCUUCAUACACCUUUCCCAGACACACACACACACACACAUACACACACACAAAUGGCCCUUCUUUCAUCAUCAACAUCUCCCACCAGGGUGGUAUAAUCUUUUGAAUCAAUGAGCCAACUCUGACACAUCAUUAUCACUUAAUAUUCAUAGUUAGCAUGAGGGUUCAGUCUUGGUGAUUGUACAUUCAGUAGGUUUGGACAAUAUAUAAAUGUGUAUCAUUCAAUAGAGUGUCACACAGAAUAUUUUUAUGGCCUAAAAGUCCUCUGUGCUCUAUCUAUUCAUAUCUUCUGCCCCUCUGACUCCAGAAAGCUACUGAUCUUUUUACUGUCUUCCUAAUUCUGCAUUUUACAGAAUUUCAUGGAUUGGAAUCCAUUGCAUUCUUUUCAGAUUACUGUCUUUCACUUCAAAUAAGCAUUUAAGGUUUUUCCCACAUCUCCUCAUUUAUUUUUAAGGCUGAAUAAUAUUAUGUCAUAAAUGCACUGGUUCUUUUACCCACUCACAAAUUGAGGACAUCAUUUUUGAUUACAAGUUUUGGCAAUGAUAGAUUAAUCUGCUGUAAACAUUUGUGUGCAGGUUUUUAUGUUAAUGUAAGUUUUUAAUUCAAUUGGGUAUGCAGCAAGAAGGGCAAAUCAAGAUUGUAUGAUUAAUACACAUUUGAUUUUUUAAGAAAUGUCAAACUUUCUACCAGAAUUAUUUUAUACUUUUGUGUCUCUGAACACCAUGAAUGAGAGAGCACCUGGUACAUCUAACCCUUUCCAGCAUUUGACCUCCUCAGCAUUAGAUUUUCACCAUUCUGAUUCAUAUCCAGUGGUAUUUUAAUUUGCAAUUUGCUAAUGUCUUUUAUGUUGAGCAACUUUUCAUAUUCUUAUUUUCCAUCUAUAUAUCACAUCUGGUCAGAUGUCUGUACAGAUCUGACCAUUUUUAAAACUGUGUUGUUCAUUUAUUAUUAUUUAGAUUUAAGAUAAUUUAAAUAAUUUGAAUGAGUCUUUUAUGAGAUAUGCUUUGGAAAUAGUCCUCUCUGUCUCUGGCUUAUCUUUUAUUCUGUUUGACCUUAUCUUUCACAGGGCAGAAAUUUUGAUUUUAACUGAGUUCAACUUAAAUGAUUUUUCUCUUUUAUGAAUUUGGCCUUUGGUGUUUGUAUCUAAAAUGUUAUCUUGAAACACAAGGUUAUUUAUAUUUUCUCCUAGUUUAUCUAGAAUAUUUUAUCCUUUGUGAUUUACAUUUAUGCAUACAUUGUAUUUUGAGUUAAUUUUUGUAAGAGGUAUGAGAUGUGUGUAUAAUAAUUUUUUGAAAUUUAUAUGUUUAUUUUCUGUUUCCCCAGCACCAUUUGUUGAAGAGGCCAUCCUUUCUCCAAUGAAGAUUCUCUCUCCUUAGUUAAGAUUAGCUAUCUUGCUGUGAAUCUACUUCUGGGUGAUCCUUUGUUUGGAUUGUCUUUUCUUUAGUAAAUGCCAUACUAUCUUGAUGCUUGAAUCUUUAUGAGUCCUCAAUUGAUGGGGUUCCUUUCCUGUAUGUGUUAUUGUUUUCAAAUAUUAAGUGUGCAAUUCAGUGUCUUUGCUUUUCUGUAUAAGGUUUAGAACCAGCAUGUCAGUAACACAGUUUAAUUUUCUGAGAAUUUAAAAAUAUAAUAAUAAUAUUUUAAGUAAGAAUUACUUGACAAAUAGUAAUUGUUUAUAUAUAUAUAAUUUCUUUUUUGAUGGUGCUGGGGGCUGAACCUAGGGUUUUGUGCAUGCAAGUAAAGCAUUGUACUAACUAAGCUAUAUCCCCAGCCCCUAUAAUUGUUCAUAUUGAUGGAUAAAACUUUUUGAAAUUUUGUUUGGGAUUGCACUGAAUCUGUAGAUACAACUGGGAAAAACUGGCAUCUUAACAGUUCUGAGUUUUUCUU